This 511-nucleotide ribosomal RNA is filed under the name uncultured bacterium. RNAcentral's name for it is "bacterial SSU rRNA". It matches the Rfam family "Bacterial small subunit ribosomal RNA", at positions 9 to 514 of the family's 1533-position model. The record is from RNAcentral.
GAGUUUGAUCGUGGCUCAGAUUGAACGCUGGCGGCAGGCCUAACACAUGCAAGUCGGGCGGUAGAGAGAAGCUUGCUUCUCUUGAGAGCGGCGGACGGGUGAGUAAUGCCUAGGAAUCUGCCUGGUAGUGGGGGAUAACGCUCGGAAACGGACGCUAAUACCGCAUACGUCCUACGGGAGAAAGCAGGGGACCUUCGGGCCUUGCGCUAUCAGAUGAGCCUAGGUCGGAUUAGCUAGUUGGUGAGGUAAUGGCUCACCAAGGCGACGAUCCGUAACUGGUCUGAGAGGAUGAUCAGUCACACUGGAACUGAGACACGGUCCAGACUCCUACGGGAGGCAGCAGUGGGAAUAUUGGACAAUGGGCGAAAGCCUGAUCCAGCCAUGCCGCGUGUGUGAAGAAGGUCUUCGGAUUGUAAAGCACUUUAAGUUGGGAGGAAGGGCAGUAAAUUAAUACUUUAGCUGUUUUGACGUUACCGACAGAAUAAGACACCGGCUAACUCUGUGCCAGCCG